CUCAGGAUCUGCCCACAGGUACCCAGAUGCUGGUGACCCCAUAUCAUCACGUCGAGGGGAAGCUGUGUCUGACACUAAUUGAGCACCUACUAUACGCUUGGUGCUGGUCAGAUAACCAGUGCCUGAGAAUCAGGUCCUCUUCUGACAGCCACUUAGAGACAAGGAACCAAGACAGGGUUUCAUGUGACCCAGGCUAGUCUCAAACUCACUACGUAGCCCAAGGAUGACCUUGGACUCCUGGUCCGCCAGCCUCCCUUACCUGAGCACUACGGUUAAAAGCCUGGAGCACCGUACCCUAUUACGAGUGAGAUGCAGCACAGCUCAGUUUCAACUGAGAAAAAAACUGGCCAGCCUGAGGAUACGCAGCAAAUCUAGGCCAGUGAGCUACACACUCAGACCCUGUCUGGGGAAAAAAGGCAACACAAUAAAUAGUUAACAUUGUCAACUUGAUGGUGUGAAGAAUCGAGCCUCCGGUCGUGCGUGGGAGGGAUAUUUUAG
Rattus norvegicus (Norway rat) is the source of this 498-nucleotide long non-coding RNA. RefSeq lists it as uncharacterized. NCBI's taxonomy places the organism in Eukaryota, Metazoa, Chordata, Mammalia, Rodentia, Muridae. The record is from RefSeq and is a predicted model, not a curated record.